Molecule: ribosomal RNA, 253 nt
Filed under: uncultured bacterium
Lineage: Bacteria
Description: partial 16S ribosomal RNA
Rfam family: Bacterial small subunit ribosomal RNA
Source: RNAcentral
UACGUAGGGUGCAAGCGUUGUCCGGAAUUAUUGGGCGUAAAGAGCUCGUAGGCGGUCUGUCACGUCGGCUGUGAAAUCCCGAGGCUCAACCUCGGGUCUGCAGUCGAUACGGGCAAACUAGAGUAUUGCAGGGGAGACUGGAAUUCCUGGUGUAGCGGUGAAAUGCGCAGAUAUCGGGAGGAACACCUGUGGCGAAGGCGGCUUUCUGGGCCUUACCUGACGCUGAGACGCGAAAGCGUGGGGAGCGAACCGG